GCGCAUGUGGUGAAAUUGGUAUACACGCCAGAUUUAGGUUCUGGUGCCGCGAGGCGUGGAGGUUCAAGUCCUCUCAUGCGCA
RNAcentral lists this transfer RNA (82 nucleotides) under Candidatus Ancillula trichonymphae. RNAcentral's name for it is "tRNA-Leu". It matches the Rfam family "tRNA". Rfam says of the family: Transfer RNA (tRNA) molecules are approximately 80 nucleotides in length. RNAcentral also lists the same sequence under 1 other name. The record is from RNAcentral. Lineage: Bacteria; Bacillati; Actinomycetota; Actinomycetes; Bifidobacteriales; Bifidobacteriaceae.